UACGGAGGGUGCAAGCGUUAUCCGGAUUCACUGGGUUUAAAGGGUGCGUAGGUGGGUUUGUAAGUCAGUGGUGAAAUCUCCGUGCUUAACAUGGAAACUGCCAUUGAUACUAUAGAUCUUGAAUUUUCUGGAGGAUAGCGGAAUGUGUCAUGUAGCGGAUGAAUGCUUAGAUAUGACAUAGAACACCAAUUGCGAAGGCAGCUAUCUACAGGGAUAUUGACACUGAGGCACGAAAGCGUGGGGAUCAAACAGG
Molecule: ribosomal RNA, 253 nt
Filed under: uncultured bacterium
Lineage: Bacteria
Description: partial 16S ribosomal RNA
Rfam family: Bacterial small subunit ribosomal RNA
Source: RNAcentral